GGGUCGUUAACUCAGCCGGUAGAGUAUCUCCCUUUUAAGGAGAGAGUCGAGUGUUCGAAUCACUCACGACCCACCA
This 76-nucleotide transfer RNA is filed under the name uncultured delta proteobacterium. RNAcentral describes it as "tRNA-Lys". It matches the Rfam family "tRNA". From Rfam's summary of the family: Transfer RNA (tRNA) molecules are approximately 80 nucleotides in length. Their secondary structure includes four short double-helical elements and three loops (D, anti-codon, and T loops). Lineage: Bacteria; Deltaproteobacteria. The record is from RNAcentral.